Long non-coding RNA from Oncorhynchus gorbuscha (pink salmon), 1350 nucleotides. RefSeq lists it as uncharacterized. The record is from RefSeq and is a predicted model, not a curated record. The transcript has 4 exons. NCBI's taxonomy places the organism in Eukaryota, Metazoa, Chordata, Actinopteri, Salmoniformes, Salmonidae.
GUGAUCUUUGGGUCAUCAUUGUGCUACUGCGGGUCUCUAAGAGACCACAUUCUGCCACCGUUGGCCAUAUACUCAGUCUCCAAGGUCAGCCAUUAAACCCAUGACAAGCCCAUGACUCUGUUCCACAACAUUUUGCAAAUGAAGUCACGCUGUUAAUUGCCAUAAAGACUUUUCUUCCACUAAAAGCAAAAAAUGCAAGCAGAUUUUGUCACCCACUAAAACUCCAGUAUGUGUUAAAUGUGUUUAUUCCUUGCCAUGCUCCUAACUCUCUGUCCCUGGGUUUCUAGAGAAGGAUGAAGAGGGAAGGAGGAAUUCCACGGAGGACACUAGCCUAGAGGACAUCACCCCAGACGGGCACAUUCUGCAGAUUUCUCCAAUUCCAGACACCCACCCUCUUCUGGUCUUUGUGAACCCAAAGAGUGGAGGGAAGCAGGGGGAGAGAGUGAUGACGAAGUUCCACUAUUUAUUGAACCCACGGCAGGUCAUCAACUUCUCCAGCGGAGGACCUGGACCCUGACCCGAGUGACAAGUGGAUUGAGGUGGUGGGGUUGUCGGGGCUAUCGAAAUGGGUCAGAUCUAUUCUGGGCUGAAGUGUGCUGGACACAGACAGGCUCAAACCUCACAGAUCACUAUCAGGUAGAUUAUAAUGCUCUAUACACAAGUCUUAAAGGUUUUAUGCCUUUUACCUUUUGUUAAUUAAAAUGGAUCUGUCUCUCUGUCUUGUUACCUUUCUCAGGACAUAUAAAGCCCUGCCUAUGUAGAUUGAUGGUGAGCCCUGCCUAUGUAGAUUUAUGGUGAGCCCUGCCUAUGUAGAUUGAUGGCGAGCCCUGCCUAUGUAGAUUGAUGGUGAGCCCUACCAAUGUAGAUUGAUGGUGAGCCCUACCAAUGUAGAUUGAUGGUGAGCCCUACCAAUGUAGAUUGAUGGUGAGCCCUACCAAUGUAGAUUGAUGGUGAGCCCUACCUAUGUAGAUUGAUGGUGAGCCCUACCUAUGUAGAUUGAUGGUGAGCCCUACCAACGUAGAUUGAUGGUGAGCCCUACCAAUGUAGAUUGAUGGUGAGCCCAACCAAUGUAGAUUGAUGGUGAGCCCUACCAAUGUAGAUUGAUGGUGAGCCCUACCAAUGUAGAUUGAUGGUGAGCCCUACCAAUGUAGAUUGAUGGUGAGCCCUACCAAUGUAGAUUGAUGGUGAGCCCUGCCUAUGUAGAUUGAUGGUGAGCCCUGGAUGCAGCCUCCUUGCACGUGCUAAUAAGUAAGUGCUAAUAUUAAUAUGCUUUUGUACCUGAUAUAAUAAAUGCAAUAUAUUAAGUGAGGUUGGCCUUGGGAUCUUUAUGACAAAUUGAAUUAGAGUGUG